Marmota monax (woodchuck) is the source of this 9110-nucleotide long non-coding RNA. RefSeq lists it as uncharacterized. The transcript has 13 exons. The record is from RefSeq and is a predicted model, not a curated record. Lineage: Eukaryota; Metazoa; Chordata; Mammalia; Rodentia; Sciuridae.
AAGAGGAAAGGGCAGAUCAUGGUUUACAAAGCUCUGUGAACUCUCCAUCACCCCUCACAUUUAUUCUUAAAGCAGUGCUUGAUGAAGAUUUGCUCAUAUGAAAACAUAAAAAUGCCUGUUUCCCUCACCUCUUCCCAGGUUCAUCCUCCCGUACUAUAAAAUGAGGAAAUGGAGCUACAGGGAGGCUAAUUUGCCUGAGGACACAUGUUAAGUUACGGGUAGAGCCAGAUUAUGGAUUCACAUGGUCUCAUUCCAGUGCAACACUGCCUCCUUGGUACUGUGUGGCCAACAGGGUUAUAAUACUGAGUGGCAUAAGAAGAGCUUCUCAGCCAUUACAGAAAAACAUGGAGAGAAAACACACCUGGGACAGCACUGACAGUGUGGUGGCCACUCUGUGAAUACUUGCUGAGCGAGUAAUGAAUGGAGUGAUUCACCUCUCCACAGACUCCUGACUUCUUGACUGCUGUCCCAUGUGAAUCAGGAGCUCUCACUGGGACUUACCAAAGUUCUGACUCCAUCAUGCUCUACUGCAGAGGUUCUGGGAGCCCUCAGGCCAUGUGAGAGCCCUCACACCUCUUAAAAGACUUUUCUUCAUCACCCUAAACUCUAAAGAGUUGUAGCCAACUUUUGGGGGCAGAGGAUCUUAGCUUUAGUUUCCACCUAUCACCAGCAUGUUGGCAAACUUUUUUCCUUGACCAAAUUUUAUUUAUUUUUUAUUUUUUAUUUUUUUAAAAUUUUUUAUUAUUAGUUGUUCAAAACAUUACAUAGCUCUUGACAUAUCAUAUUUCAUACAUUUGAUUCAAGUGGGUUAUGAACUCCCAUUUUUACCCCGUAUACAGAUUGUAGAAUCACAUCGGUUACACAUCCACGUUUUUACAUACUGCCAUACUAGUGUCUGUUGUAUUCUGCUGCCCUUCCUAUCCUCUACUAUCCCCCCUCCCCUCCCCUCCCCUCCCAUCUUCUCUCUCUACCCCAUCUACUGUAAUUCAUUUCUCUCCCUUGUUUUUUUUCCCUUUCCCCUCACUUCCUCUUAUAUGUAAUUUUGUAUAACAAUGAGGGUCUCCUUCUAUUUCCAUGCAAUUUCCCUUCUCUCUCCCUUUCCCUCCCACCUCUCAUCCCUGUUUAAUGUUAAUCUUCUUCUCAUGCUCUUCCUCCCUGCUCUGUUCUUAGUUGCUCUCCUUAUAUCAAAGAAGACAUUUGGCAUUUGUUUUUUAGGGAUUGGCUAGCUUCACUUAGCAUAAUCUGCUCUAAUGCCAUCCAUUUCCCUGCAAAUGCCAUGAUUUUGUCAUUUUUUAGUGAAAAGUAAUACUUCAUUGUGUAUAAAUGCCACAUUUUUUUUAUCCAUUCUUCUAUUGAAGGGCAUCUAGGUUGGUUCCACAGUCUAGCUAUUGUGAAUUGUGCUGCUAUGAACAUCGAUGUAGCAGUAUCCCUAUAGUACUCUCUUUUAAGGUCUUCAGGGAAUAGUCCGAGAAGGGGAAUAGCUGGGUCAAAUGGUGGUUCCAUUCCCAACUUUCCAAGGAAUCUCCACACUGCUUUCCAAAUUGGCUGCACCAAUUUGCAGUCCCACCAGCAAUGUACAAGUGUACCCUUUUCCCCACAUCCUCGCCAGCACUUGUUGUUGUUUGACUUCAUAAUGGCUGCCAAUCUUACUGGAGUGAGAUGGUAUCUUAGGGUGGUUUUGAUUUGCAUUUCUCUGACUGCUAGAGAUGGUGAACAUUUUUUGACCAAAUUUUAGUUAGGCUCCUUUGAACCCUCUGCUUGCUUGGCCUCAACCUUGGCCUGUUGUAUCCAGUUUCAGGAUAAUGUAUGUAAUUUGGAAUUACAUACGUACAUGUAUGUAAUUUCCAAAUUAUGUAAUUUGUAAUAUUAAUCCUGCCACGUCACUUUAGCAAGAAUCCCCCACUCUUAGUAAUCUUUGUCUACUGACUUCCUUACUCUUUUUCUUGGCUAUAAAAUUCCUAACUAUCUUUGUUGUAUUGGAAGUUAAAUCCAAUCUCAAUCCCCAAUUGCAGUAGUCCUGAAAAACGUCUCCUUUGCUGCUUUUAUCAAAUGUCCUGUGCUAUUUUUUUUUUAAACAGCAUUCUCUUGGAUUUCUUCUUUCUUUUGAAAAAGUUUAUUUCUAGAUCUUUUUGUCCAGUCAGUCCUUUGGGCUCACCCCUGUGGUACAUUCUUCUGCCAUGGUGUUUGUUAUGUCAACAUUGAACAAUGUACUUUACUUUCUCUUAAACUAGUAAGACCUUUGGCACUUUGUUAACUAAACAUAUUUAAGUCCACUAGAAAGGUUUAAUAUAUCAUAGCCACAAGAUAUAUCCUAUGUUGUCUCAGUUUGUAAGCUUAUAUUAUUUUCUCAGUCCAUUUUACAAACAUAAGUUGGAAGUUGGUCCUUUGCUUCUCUUUUUAAAUCUAAAUUAGAGGUGGUGAAACAAGGGAUAUUGCCUACUCCCUAAGAUUGUUAUUGCAAAGGAAUAUAAAGACACUGGAGGUAGGAGAAAUUCAGAGGGGGGGGCGGGGGAAGAGAUGGAGUACUGAAUAGAAUGAGCAUAUUAGGAGUCUGACCAAGAAUCUGCAGAACAAGAUGGUUGCUCCAACCGUCCCUCAUGGAGAUGUCAAAGAGAUUUGGAAUUCUGUUGUUCUGGUGAGGUGCUACUAAUGUGAAAAGAGUUUGAUCAUGGUUAUCAGGGGACUUUGGAAACAGGUUUUGGAUUCACUGACUAAUGGGUAAAGUCUGUCCAUGUAGUACUGUGAUGGUCCUUCUGCCAGGAGAGAAAAUGUAUACCAUCUCAGAACUGGAAAGAACACUUCAGGUAGAUAUCAAUGAUUUUGCCUGCCUGACGUUAUUGGACCAGGAUUUUGUACAAUGAUGGCCAUGCCUAGAAGAGGCCAAGAAGACCAAGAUCAGAGUAGAUACAUGCUCCUAGCUAUCACUUCCAUGCUAACCUCAUUCCAGUCCUUGGACGCAGGCAAGCUUUAUUUGAAAUUUCCUGGCUGCAGAAGCAACGACUUAAGGUUCUUUUUAGAUGGUCUUUUUUCCCCUUCAGUAUCAAUUGAGAGGAAAAAAAAAAGAGUCUUUCCAUCAGUUGGGUAUUUCCUUGAUAUUUGAGCAGACAAUUAACAUGAAAUUCCUGAAUGCCAAAUAUGUAAUUUGGAAUAAGAUAUUAAAGAGGAUUUCAACAGUGUCAUAACUGUUGAAUUUCAGUGUAACUAUUUCCAUGUGUUCCUACUGAUGAAUCAACCUAUAUUCAUUUGUUUCAUUAAAAGCAUUUUUUUUCUUUUCACAGUUGUGUUGUUUUUGUAUUACAUUUGUGUUUCUCCUCAUCAUACCACAUAAAAUCUCCUAUUUCCCAAGAGAGCUCAUGAAUGAGAAAAAAGAGGGUGCAAAGCCAAGAAGGGUUGAAUACAGUCAGUUGGACACAGCGCCAGGACUCUCCUCCCGGGAAGGGCUAGCAAGGGUGGAGUGCACAGUAGGAGCAAAAAGUUGCUGAAUCACACAGGCGCUUUUGUUCCCACACUGGGAUAAGAAAAAUCUCGGCAGAGAGAAGAAAGUUUGUUUGCGAGUCUUUUCCAGGGUCACCGGGAUGUCUAAACCACUCCCUGUAGUGGUUUACACUCACAGCAACAUGACAUCUGGCAACUCGACUCUUAAAAAUUCUUCUCUUUGACUCCUGCCAUGACUGCUUCAUCCAGAGCAUUUCACGAAUGGUUUGUCGAUGGUUCAGAAACAGAUGUGUAAAAACGUUUGGAAUAAGGUAACUUCUAGAAUUAGUGAGUUCCAUAUAUUUAUCGAAUGCCCAUUAUGUACUAGGCAAUUUUUUUUUUUUUUUUAGGCAUAAGGAUUGAUUUAUGAGUCCCUGCUCCAUGGAGCUUACAACCUAGUAGAAGCUGAGAAGUGGAGAAGACAGACAUUCAUCAAAGAAGCCAAUAAACAAAUUUGAUGAUUUCUGGUGGUAUUUACAAAGAAAUAGAUCUGGAAUUAUGUCUGAGAAAGAUGAAGGUAUCAGGAUCCAUCCACUAUUCUCUAAGAAGAAACAACAGCAACAAAGCCAGGAAAUCAAACCUACCUAUGCUGCCUGGAGUGAUAGUGGCUUCUUUCCCACACAUGGAUAUGGUGCUGCUUGUCUUUCAGAUUAUAUACCAGAAAUAGCAGAAAGAACCCAAGUUCAAAUUCUGCUUCUGGCAUUUAAUCAUGAGGUGAACUUGGACAUUUCUGAAGUACCAAUGACUUUUGCAACUUGCACCCAUUUCUUCUUCUGAGAAAUGAGCAUAAUAGCUGGCACCUUCCUGUUGGGGCUAAAAUGGUAUCACUCAAGUUGUAGCACAGAAAAGGACCACACCCUAUGUACAGGAAUGGCACUAUGAAAGCUGGAUUAUUUUUUUUCUCUUUUGGAAAACCUGAAGUUGGGAGGACACCUUUUGUGAGUCCCAAAUCAUCAGUGAUCAACAACCUCUUGGUGGUUUGGUUCUUUCGCUCCGAGGGGACUUCAGUGUCGAAGGUGGCCUUGUAGCUGCUUGUCACACAGAACACAUAAACAAUGGUCCCCGUGUUGCCAGUCCUUGGAGUUCUGGAGGGGAAAGCACUUGGCACAACUCAGAGACCUGAACUCAUAAACAGGGAGCAGAAGAAAACAGAGGUUGCUGUUAAAGACACAGUCCCUAACCUCCAUUUACUGAAGUACUUGGCCGAGCCAUCUGACUCAUCACCCUGUACAAGGACAGUGUGACUCACACCAAUAAGCCGGAAGCAGGCCUGAAUUGAGGCAAGGCCAGAGUCAGGACACAACUAAUAGAUGCUGGAAGUGUUGACGGAAACCACUCUUGCAGAGGAACAAUGCGGGCUGAGCUUCAGUUGCCGGCUAUGACAUCAUGACCGAGAGCAGACAGUGUAACAUGUCACACGGAUUCAACCUCUUCACUCGCUGUGCAAAUUUGUGCCAUGAACUGAGCAGUUUUUGGCCUCUACCACCCACUUCCACCAUGAUGUUCUGCCUCACCUCAAACCCAGAACAAUGAAGAUGACUGACCAAGGGCUGAAUCUCUGAAACAAAUCGGUUCCAAACAGUCAAGCCUGCCAGAAAAAACAGACAAACUCUCAAGAACAACAAUGCCUAUUAUGUGUGGUGGAGGAGCCGCCAGAUUUUGAUUACCGGACAGACAUUAACUCCUUUGGUGUCUCAUGCAAGAAAUGCCAAGUCUGAAUCCAGAUAUUUUCCAGAAUAGCAUGAGAUCUGCAAUUUACAGUGUCUUCUGCAAAAAAAAAAAAAAAAAAAAAAAAAAGCAACUGAGAGAAGGAAGUGCAAGUUAAAGACCACAUCUCCUGGUUUCUCGAAUUCUGCCAUGACUCUUCCUGGUAAAUGGACAGACUGAGUACCUGUGCUCUUCCUUUUGCAGGCCUUAGGUUGUGGGCCAGAAGCACGUUACUCUACCCACCUGUCCCACCUGUGUUGUCUUGAUGUCUAAAGGACUGUCACAUUCUGCCCUCAUUGAGAAAAUGCAUGGGUUCCUGGAGGCUACCUCUUACAGUAAAACUUUGAGAAAGAAGAAUCCUUGCAAACUCUGUGAUCAGCAUCAGCCCCCCCCCCCGCCCCAAUAGACUCCCUGAAGGCUGUCAGACUCCAUCCUGCUUUGAGAUCUCAGAUAAAGCAGAGAGCAAUGCGAUUUUCAGAGGGAGGAUGAUAAUAUAAGUAUUUAGACCAUCGUGUGUUAUUUCCAGUCCUUACUAAAAGAGGAACCAGGGAGACUGUGAACUCAGCCAGGUGGAAGUGAUAAUGAUUUUAGAGAAACCACAGGAGAAGGAAGAGCUCCUCCAACCGUCUUCUCACUACCACAAUGGGACCCUUAUGGAUUAACUCUUUCAAGGAUGGAGGUGUCUCCUCUCCCUAGAAAUAAAAAUGCAAGUUUUACGUAGGUUUUAGUGUUGUGUGGAGGGAAAACAAGGACUGAUCUAUUUGGUUCUCUUCACUUGAUUCACCCUGAAGGGCUUGCUGCCCUAGAGAUAAGUGGACAGAUGAAGAAAAGUAGUAUCCCCAGAUACCCCGAUGAAGCCAAUGCUCUCUGAAAGGAAGCAGCCACACAUUUAGCCCAGGGAGACCUUUUUGCAUCCAGGAGAGUGAUUUGGGUCAAAGAAAAGGAGAACAGUGACAUUACUGCCAGACUGCUUCUCUAACUAAACCUUUAGCUCUUCUGUUCAGGACAAAUGGGAAUCAGCCAGCAUAGAUGUGACCUGUCCUGUCUGCUGGUAACCACAGUAUCAUAAUUCAUUGGAGUUUCACUUUAAGUAUUUUAAGAAUUACCUGUGAGAUUUUGAGGGUCAAUAUUUUAGACUAUCAUCACUAUUGGACUAUUCAUUUGAAUACUUCUGGGGUUUAUACCUCUUUUCAAAAGAAACAGUGGGCUUCCCUAUAUUCAUUACAAAGUCUUCCUAGUCUUCAAAUCUUCCUGUGAAGUGUCUCUUCUCUAGUCUUUUAAGUAUACCGUGUGACUGUAUGUCCUCCUAUGAGAAGUGUCUGUUCAGGUCCUUGGCCCAUUUGUUGAUUGGGUUGUUUGUUCUCUUAUUGUCUAAUUUUUUGAGUUCUUUGUAUACUCUGGAUAUUAGGGCUCUAUCUGAAGUGUGAGGAGUAAAGAUUUGUUCCCAGGGUGUAGGCUCCCUAUUUACCUCUCUUAUUGUUUCUUUUGCUGAGAAAAAACUUUUUAGUUUGAGUAAGUCCCAUUUGUUGAUUCUAGUUAUUAACUUUUGUGCUAUGGGUGUCCUAUUGAGGAAUUUGGAGCCCGACCCCACCAAAUGUAGAUCGUAGCCAACUUUUUCUUCUAUCAGACGGCGUGUCUCUGAUUUGAUAUCAAGCUCCUUGAUCCAUUUUGAAUUAACUUUUGUGCUUGGUGAGAGAAAGGGAUUCAGUUUCAUUUUGUUGCAUAUGGAUUUCCAGUUUUCCCAGCACCAUUUGUUGAAGAUGCUAUCCUUCCUCCAUUGCAUGCUUUUAGCCCCUUUAUCAAAUAUAAGAUAGUUGUAGUUUUGUGGAUUGGUUUCUGUGUCCUCUAUUCUGUACCAUUGGUCCACCCGCCUGUUUUGGUACCAGUACCAUGCUGUUUUUGUUACUAUUGCUCUGUAGUAUAGUUUGAAGUCUGGUAUCGCUAUACUGCCUGAUUCACACUUCCUGCUUAGCAUUGUUUUUGCUAUUCUGGGUCUUUUAGUUUUCCAUAUGAAUUUCAUGAUUGCUUUCUCUAUUUCUACAAGAAAUGCCGUUGGGAUUUUGAUUGGCAUUGCAUUAAACCUAUAGAGAACUUUGGGUAAUAUCGCCAUUUUGAUAAUGUUAGUUCUGCCUAUCCAUGAACAGGGUAUAUUUUUCCAUCUUCUAAGAUCUUCUUCUAUUUCUCUCUUUAGGGUUCUGUAGUUUUCAUUGUAUAAGUCUUUCACCUCUUUUGUUAGGUUGAUUCCCAAGUAUUUUAUUUUUUUUGAAGAUAUUUUGAAUGGAGUGGUUGUCCUCAUUUGCAUUUCAGAGGAUUUGUCGCUGAUAUACAGGAAUGCCUUUGAUUUAUGCGUGUUGAUUUUAUAUCCUGCCACUUUGCUGAAUUCAUUUAUUAGCUCUAAUAGUUUCUUUGUAGAGCCUUUUGGGUCUGCUAGGUAUAGAAUCAUAUCAUCUGCAAAUAGUGAUAAUUUAAGUUCUUCUUUUCCUGUUUUGAUGCCUUUAAUUUCUUUCGUCUGUCUAAUUGCUCUGGCCAGUGUUUCGAGAACUAUGUUGAAGAGAAGUGGAGAGAGAGGGCAUCCCUGUCUUGUUCCAGAUUUUAGAGGGAAUGCCUUCAGUUUUUCUCCAUUCAGAAUGAUUCUAGCCUGAGGCUUAGCAUAGAUUGCUUUUACAAUAUUGAGGUAUGUUCCUGUUAUCCCUAGUUUUUCUAGAGUUUUGAACAUAAAGGGAUGCUGUACUUUGUCGAAUGCUUUUUCCGCAUCUAUCGAGAUGAUCAUAUGGUUCUUAUUUUUAAGUCUAUUGAUGUGGUGAAUAACAUUUAUUGAUUUCUGUAUAUUGAACCAGCCUUGCAUCCCAGGGAUGAGUCCUACUUGAUCAUGGUGUACAAUUUUUUUGAUAUGUUUUUGUAUCCGAUUCGCCAGAAUUUUAUUGAGGAUUUUUGCAUCUAGGUUCAUUAGAGAUAUUGGUCUGUAGUUUUCUUUCUUUGAAGUGUCUUUGUCUGGUUUAGGUAUCAGGGUGAUGUUGGCCUCAUAGAAUGAAUUUGGAAGUUCUCCCUCUUUUUCUAUUCCCUGAAGUAGCUUGAAAAGUAUUGGUAUUAGUUCUUCUUUAAAGGUUUUGUAAAAUUCUGCUGUAUACCCAUCCGGUCCUGGGCUUUACUUAGUUGGUAGUCUUUUUAUGGUUUCUUCUAUUUCCUCAAUUGAUAUUGGUCUGUUUAGGUUUUCUAUAUCCUCCUGACUCAAUCUGGGCAGAUCAUAAAUGCUCAACAUCUCUAGCUGUCAGAGAAAUGCAAAUCAAAACCACCCUAAGAUACCAUCUCACUCCAGUAAGAUUGGCAGCCAUUAGGAAGUCAAACAACAACAAGUGCUGGCGAGGAUGUGGGGAAAAGGGUACACUUGUACAUUGCUGGUGGGACUGCAGAUUGGUGCAGCCAAUUUGGAAAGCAGUAUGGAGAUUUCUUGGAAAGCUGGGAAUGGAGCCACCAUUUGACCCAGCUAUUCCCCUUCUUGGUCUAUUCCCUAAAGACCUAAAAAGAGCAUGCUACAGGGACACUGCUACAUCGAUGUUCAUAGCAGCACAGUUCACAAUAGCAAGACUGUGGAACCAACCUAGAUGCCCUUCAAUAGACGAAUGGAUAAAAAAAAAAUGUGGCAUUUAUACACAGUGGAGUAUUACUCUGCAUUAAAAAAUGACAAAAUCAUAGAAUUUACAGGGAAAUGGAUGGCAUUAGAGCAGAUUAUGCUAAGUGAAGCUAGCCAAUCCCUAAAAAAACAAAUGCCAAAUGUCUUCUUUGAUAUAAGGAGAGUAACUAAGAUCAGAGUAGGGACGAAGAGCAGGAGAAGAAGAUUAACAUUUAACAGGGAUGAGAGGUGGGAGGGAAAGGGAGAGAGAAGGGAAAUUGCACGGUAAUGGAAGGAGACCCUCAGGGUUAUACAGUGG